Acinonyx jubatus (cheetah) is the source of this 1590-nucleotide long non-coding RNA. RefSeq lists it as uncharacterized. The transcript is spliced from 2 exons. The record is from RefSeq and is a predicted model, not a curated record. NCBI's taxonomy places the organism in Eukaryota, Metazoa, Chordata, Mammalia, Carnivora, Felidae.
UAAGAUAAACUCAACAAAGCACUUAACAGAGUAUGUGAUAAGUGUUUAGUAAACAUCAGCUCUUUUUGAGUACUUUGUUUACUUUACAUCCACUAUGUGUCAGUCAUCAUACUGGGUACCCUAAAUAUUUUGUCAUAUUUAUUUCCCACAGUAAACCUCCAAGACAGGUAUUAUUACCCCUGAUCUGCAAUCAACUAAACUGAGGCCUGGAGAUGUUAAGAUACUCCUGAAGGUCACACACCACAUGAAAGGGCUGACAGAUUUAACUUUCAAGGCCAUGGGAAGCCAGAUGCAAAUGUCACUCAGGAGGCAGGGCCAGAGUUGGAGAGUCCCAGGGAAAGAAGGCCUAAGCCUGUAUGUGGGCCAGGGUAGCAGAGGAAAUCAGAUUCUUGUCCAGAGUGGUUGACAGCACAGCUGGAAAUAAUGUGCUGAAUGUCAAAUCUGAUGGGUGAAGCAGAAGAACAAGGAGAAUGAAUGGUGUGGAUGGCAAUCAGCAAAGGCAAGAAAGAAGACAAUAUAGGUUCCUGGGAGGAGGGGAAGGCCAUGGUCAGUGAGUCACGAUAGAGGAGAGUGAGUGUGCCAGAGCUGGCUGGCCUGGGUUAGGCACUUUCCCUCCCUGGACCUGUAGAAAGGGGUAAUAAUUCUUAGGUCCCAGGGCUGAGGUAAGGACUAAAUGAAGCACUGCACAGAAAGCUCUUUUCAUAAUGUUUGGAACCUGUGAAGUGUUUAACAAAGGAUCUGGAAAAAAAAAAUCCAGACUAGUAUUUGGAGAAUACAUUUCAGAAAGAGUAAGAGAGGUCAUUUUAUUCAUGCUUUAACAGUGAGGGUCCCAGCUUCAGUCUAUUGUGAAGGAUGGUUGGGGCCAGCUCUUGCAGAGGUCUGAUCAAGGAAGAUCCUUGGAGGCCUACAUCAGCACAAAGGGGACAUGUGCUAGUCCUGCUUUAGGGAAGGAGGAGGGUGACAGUGGGAUAUAUGACUGGUGGACCUGUGACUGAGUCCCAGGAAGAAAGGGUUGCAGGUAGAAGCUGUUUCUAAAAGGGCCACAGAGCUAGGAAUGUAGAGAGGGGGAAAAGAACAUUUUCCCAAUUUUUGGACUGAAAAGCCUGCAGUUUCAGUUGCUAUAGUAUUUCUUGUCCCGGAAGCUUGAUAUAAGCAGGAAAUACCUUUGGUUGGUCAUCAGAUUUCUCCUGGUGGGUGUUGGGACUGACUAGGGUGGAGCACUCUCAAUUACAGGAAGUAGGAAGUAGGGAACCUCAUGGGCGGGGCUGAGCAGGAAAGAAGCAACACGGUAGAUGGCAUGUAAAGUGGAAUGCAUCCUUUGUGAGUUAUGUGUGAUGUCACUUUGAAACUUCCAGAAAUAACUAAGCAAGACUUUGAAGGAGCCUGGAGUCCUGCAUUGGCAGAUUGGGGAAGAGAGGCAUCUAGAGGUAUCUACAGCCACCAGCCCUCUAGUGACAAAGCGAGAACCUCAGACUCAAGUCUCCAACAUUCCAGUCUGUGCCUUCUUCAUGUUCCUGGGCAGCUUUGUUCAAGCAUCUAUAAUGGCUUCCUAUUUCUAACUGUACCAAAUUAAAAUGUUCUGGUCUGGCA